Molecule: microRNA precursor, 210 nt
Filed under: Arabidopsis thaliana (thale cress)
Lineage: Eukaryota; Viridiplantae; Streptophyta; Magnoliopsida; Brassicales; Brassicaceae
Description: precursor microRNA 319c
Rfam family: MIR159 microRNA precursor family
Source: RNAcentral
AGAUAGAUAUAGAAGGAGAUUCUUUCAGUCCAGUCAUGGAUAGAAAAAGAAGAGGGUAGAAAUAUCUGCCGACUCAUCCAUCCAAACACUCGUGGUAGAGAAACGAUAAAUUUAAACCGCAGUGACUGUGUGAAUGAUGCGGGAGAUAUUUUUGAUCCUUCUUUAUCUGUGUUUGGACUGAAGGGAGCUCCUUCUUUUUCUACAAAUUUU